GAGCGGGGAAGUGUAGCUUGCUACAUUACCUAGCGGCGGACGGGUGAGUAAUGCUUAGGAAUCUGCCUAUUAGUGGGGGACAACAUUCCGAAAGGAAUGCUAAUACCGCAUACGUCCUACGGGAGAAAGCAGGGGAUCUUCGGACCUUGCGCUAAUAGAUGAGCCUAAGUCGGAUUAGCUAGUUGGUGGGGUAAAGGCCUACCAAGGCGACGAUCUGUAGCGGGUCUGAGAGGAUGAUCCGCCACACUGGGACUGAGACACGGCCCAGACUCCUACGGGAGGCAGCAGUGGGGAAUAUUGGACAAUGGGCGGAAGCCUGAUCCAGCCAUGCCGCGUGUGUGAAGAAGGCCUUAUGGUUGUAAAGCACUUUAAGCGAGGAGGAGGCUACUCUAGUUAAUACCUAGAGAUAGUGGACGUUACUCGCAGAAUAAGCACCGGCUAACUCUGUGCCAGCAGCCGCGGUAAUACAGAGGGUGCGAGCGUUAAUCGGAUUUACUGGGCGUAAAGCGUGCGUAGGCGGCUGAUUAAGUCGGAUGUGAAAUCCCUGAGCUUAACUUAGGAAUUGCAUUCGAUACUGGUCAGCUAGAGUAUGGGAGAGGAUGGUAGAAUUCCAGGUGUAGCGGUGAAAUGCGUAGAGAUCUGGAGGAAUACCGAUGGCGAAGGCAGCCAUCUGGCCUAAUACUGACGCUGAGGUACGAAAGCAUGGGGAGCAAACAGGAUUAGAUACCCUGGUAGUCCAUGCCGUAAACGAUGUCUACUAGCCGUUGGGGCCUUUGAGGCUUUAGUGGCGCAGCUAACGCGAUAAGUAGACCGCCUGGGGAGUACGGUCGCAAGACUAAAACUCAAAUGAAUUGACGGGGGCCCGCACAAGCGGUGGAGCAUGUGGUUUAAUUCGAUGCAA
This 901-nucleotide ribosomal RNA is filed under the name Acinetobacter sp. RNAcentral's name for it is "bacterial SSU rRNA". It matches the Rfam family "Bacterial small subunit ribosomal RNA", at positions 64 to 959 of the family's 1533-position model. Lineage: Bacteria; Pseudomonadati; Pseudomonadota; Gammaproteobacteria; Moraxellales; Moraxellaceae. The record is from RNAcentral.